Molecule: long non-coding RNA, 4671 nt
Filed under: Felis catus (domestic cat)
Lineage: Eukaryota; Metazoa; Chordata; Mammalia; Carnivora; Felidae
Description: centrosomal protein 164 (ENSFCAG00000000180.6)
Source: RNAcentral
GACUCUUAGUUGCUAGGUUGGUACUCUUUCCGGAAGUGGUUGUUGGCCGCUGCAGAGCAACACCCCGGCGUCCCUGGAAGCGGGGAGCCGGGGUGGUACUGGGGAAGCUGCACGGACCCGGGAGCGGUCGUCCAGUGCCUCCCGGGGCGGGGGGGCAGUUCAUUUUGAGAGAGGGAGAGAAUCUCAAGCAGGCUCUGACCUGCCAGCACGGAGCCCGAUGAGGGGCUUGAACUCAGACACCGAGGAUCACGACCUGAGCCGAAACGAGUCGGACGCUUAACUGAGCCACCGAGGCGCCCCUGGGAAAACAAUUUCUACCUAUUUGAGAGGAGGAGGACGUAGGUGUUCGAGCCCAUACCAACCAUGGCCGGGAGACCCAUCCGCAUAGGAGACCAGCUGGUUCUGGAGGAGGAUUAUGAUGAGACCUACAUCCCCAGUGAGCAAGAAAUUCUUGAAUUUGCCAGAGAGAUUGGUAUUGAUCCCGUCAAGGAGCCGGAACUGAUGUGGCUGGCGCGAGAGGGCAUUGUGGCCCCACUGCCCGUGGAGUGGAAGCCCUGCCAGGACAUCACAGGUGAUAUUUACUAUUUCAACUUUGCCAAUGGGCAGUCCACGUGGGACCAUCCAUGUGACGAGCACUAUCGGAACUUGGUGAUCCAAGAGCGGAGGAAGCUGUCAACUCCAGGAGCCGUUAACAAGAAAGACAAGAAAAAGAAGAAGGAAAAGAAAGACAAGAAGGACAAAGAGACCUCCAAAAGUCUGCUGGCCCCGGGCUCCUCAUUAGCCCCAGUCCACGUCCCUCUUGGGGGCCUGGCUCCCCUAAGAGGCCUUGUGGAUGCCCCGGCCUCUGCUCUUCGUGGAUCGCAAAGCGUGAGCCUGGGGAGCUCAGCGGAAUCUGGUCAGCUUGGAGAACUCACGCUGCCUCCACAGGGUCUCAAGACUUCUGCUUACACAAAGGGUCUCUUGGGCUCCAUCCACGAGGACAAGAAAGCCCUCAGCCUCUUGGCUUUAGGGGAGGAGACCAACGAGGAGGAUGAGGCAGAGAGUGACAACCAGAGUGUCCGCAGCUCAAGUGAGCUUCUUAAGAACCUGCACCUGGACAUUGGGGCGCUGGGGGGUGAUUUUGAGUAUGAGGAGUCUCCAAGAACAAGCCAGCCAGAGGAGAAGAAGGAUGCUUCUCUGGAUUCAGAGGCUGCCGGGCCCCCCACUCCCGGCAAGCUCUUCAGCCAGGAUGCAGACAGCAGUCUGAGCAGUGCCGAUGGCACAGGGCAGCAGGGAAGAGGGGCGAGCGCGUGGCUCCUGGAGAAAGAAAAGGAUGAGAAGAGUGAUUCAGGAAUACCCAGGAGUGGGGUGGACCCUGGGGGCAGUCAGCCUGCCAAAGCCAACAAAGAGGAGGCCCCAGAGGCCCCAGCGGAUGUAGGAGAGGAGGGUUCCCGGAAGGGAGAGGCGGAAGGAGGCGCCGAAGGAGGCAGGAGCCCUCUCUGCUCCGCUCUGGGUGACGUCUCUAUGGGUCUGUUUCCCCAGGAGUUGGAGAUCAGCGAGCAGGUGAAGGAGCUGCAGCUGUCAGACUCCGUGGCCUCUGACCCCAAGUCCUUCCUGGAACUGGACUUCGGUUUUCGCAGCGGGAUCUCAGAGCACCUGAUGGAUGUUGACGUGCUUUCCCCAGCACUUGCCACUGCUGCUUGCCCACAGGCCCAGAGGUUGGGAAGAAAAGACAAGGAUGGCAGCCAGUCCAGCCAAGAUGAGCCACAGAGCAAGCGGUGCAAAGGCUCGGAGAGGUCCUCUCCUCCACUUGUGCCUGGGAGGCGGCUCCAGAGUCCCCUUCCGAGCCAGGCCACCGAAGAAGGGCCUCCCGAGGCCUCUGAGGGGCAGCCUGAGCAGAAGCGGGCAGAGGAGCCCGGGGAGGACUCUGCAGGCAGCUCCAUCCCUGCCGGUUCCCUGAGGAGGGAAGAGACCCCAAGCCCACCUGCCGCCCCCGCGAGGGGCAGGGAGCAGCGCUCCGGGGCCGAGGAGCCUGAGGAGGGGGCGGCCAGCCCUGCCGCACCAGCCUCUCCAGAGGUGCGAGCUGCGGAGCCUGCGACUCCCCCAAAGCAGGCUUCCCUGAGGGCCAUGGAGGAGGCCGUGGCCCACGACCUGGAGCAAGACCAGAGGCGGCUUCUGGAAUCGAAACGAGAGAAGAUUCAGCAGCUCCGGGAGAAGCUGUGGCAGGAGGAGGAAGAGGAGGUCCUCCAGCUUCACCAGCAGAAAGAGAAGUCUCUCAGUUCCCUGAAGGCGCAGCUGCGGAAGGCCACCGAGGAAGAGGAGACUCGGAUGAGAGAGGAGGAAAGCCGGCGGCUGUCCCAGCUCCUGGCCCAGGUGCAGUCCCAUGUGGAAGCAGAUGAGAGCCAGAUCAGGGCCGAGCAGGAGGCUUCCCUGCAGAGGCUGAGAGAAGAGUCGGAGUCUCUCCAGAAGGCCGAGAGGGCCAGCUUGGAGCAGAGGAACAGACAGAUGCUGGAGCAGCUCAAGGAAGAGAUGGAGGCCUCGGAGGAGAGAGAGCGGGCUUCCCUGAAGGCCGAGAAGGAGAGGGCUCUGCAGCAGCUCAGGGAACAGCUGGAGGGCGAGAGGAAAGAAGCAGUGGCAGCACUGGAGAGUGAGCACCGAGCUGAGCUGGAGCGGCUCUCUUCCUCGCUGGAGGCCAAGCACAGAGAGGUUGUCUCCAGCCUCCAGAAGAAGAUGGAGGAGGCCCAGCAGAGGGAGGAGGCCCAGCUGCAGGAGAGCCUUGGUCGGGCAGAGCAGAGGGCUCAUCAGAAGGCUCACCAAGUGUUCCAGUACGAGCAAGAGCUCAGCGACCUCCUGCGAGAGAAGCGCCAGCAGGUGGAGAGGGAACACGAGAGGAAGAUGGACAGGAUGAAGGAGGAGCACCAGCAGGUGCUGGCUGAGGCCAGAGAGCAGUACGAAGCCGAGGAGAGGAAGCAGCGGGCUGAACUCCUGGGACACCUGACCUGUGAGCUGGAGCGCCUUCGAAGGUCGCACGAGCGUGAACUAGAGGCCGUGAGGCAGACGCAGGAUAGGCAGCUGGAGGACUUACGGCGGCGGCACCGGGAGCAGGAAAGGAAACUCCAAAAUUUAGAGGUGGAACUGGAAACCAGAACCAAAGAUGUCAAGGCCCGAUUGGCUCAGCUGGACAUCCAGGUGAGAGAGCGGGAGUUGAGGACAGGAUCUCCAGGUGCCCUUGACCGUGGAGUCAUAGAAGCCACAGCCAACCAUCAUCACCUGGAGGAGGCAAAGAAGGAGCACACCCAUCUGUUGGAGACAAACCAACAGCUCCGAAGAAUUCUCGAUGAACUUCGGGCCCACAAGUUGGAGCUAGAGUCCCAGGUGGAUGUGCUGCAGACCCAGAGGUGGAGGCUGCAGAAACAACUCAGCGACCUGGAGGCUGAAACUCAGAGGAAGCAGGAGGUGUUGAAUGAGCUGGCAGCUAAGGAGAGCAAUGCCUCCUCACGUGUUGAGCCAGAUCUCCACAUUGAGGACCUGAGGAAAUCCCUUGGGACAAACCAGACCAAAGAGGUAUCCUCUUCUCUCCCCCAGAGCAAGGAGGAGACCGACUUAUCCUUGGACAGCGUCCGACACUACCUCUCUGCCGAGGGGCUAGCCCUCCGCAGUGCCAAGGAGUUCCUGGUGCGGCAGACGCGCUCCAUGCGGAGGCGGCAGACGGCUCUGAAAGCUGCCCAGCAGCACUGGCGCCAGGAGCUGGCCGGCGCUCAGGAAGCCGCCCAAGAUCCACCGGGCACCAAGGCCCUGGAGGACGUGCGCAAGGACUUGGAGGAGGAGACCCGGCACCUGGAUGAGAUGAAGUCGGCCAUGCGGAAGGGCCACGACCUGCUGAAGAAGAAAGAGGAGAAACUGAAUCAGCUGGAGUCCUCUCUUCUGGAAGAGGCCCCAGAUGAGGACAUUCUGAGAGGCGCCCCCCCCAAGAAGGUGGUGACUUUCGACCUCAGCGACACUGAAGACAUGAGCAGCGCAAGUUCUGAAUCCUGCCCCCUGCCUCACCGUGAGUGGUGGCAUCAGCCCAGAGGGGGACCACACGCCACCUUCCCCAACAAGAUCUACUACUUGAGCAGCUCCCUGCAGCGCAUCAGCAGCCAGCUGAAUGGUGUCCUCAGCAUGCUGGGCAGCCUCAACCCGCAGCCGCCACUGCCUCUCUUCACUUCCACGCCGGCGCACGUCCCGCCCCGGGCCGCUGGGAGCACCUCCAUUCCUGCCUGCCCCUCCCGGCUCUCACCCUCGCCGCUGGCUACACCCUCAUCCACCCAGUGGGCCUGGGACCCGGGGCUGGGCCCCAGGCUCUCCUCCUCCGCGGCUCAAACAGUGGAUGACUUCCUGCUGGAGAAGUGGCGCAAAUAUUUUCCAGCUGGAGUACCGUUCCUCAGCACCGGCCCUGCCCCCCUGGAGAACAGGCUGGGUUAUGUGUCGGCCAGCGAGCAGCUGCGGCUCCUGCAGCGGGCCCAUCCCCAGGUCUCCGAGGUGGGCAGCACCGACGUCCAGGGCCUGAUCGAGGCUAACCGAAAGUGGCUCCAGCGUUACAAGAAUGACCCCAAACGUCUCUUCUCUUCAGGGCCCAGGCUGGCAGCCUCUUCUGACUUCCUGCAGCUGGGCCUGGAUGAGAACAAUAGGCUGAAGGUGUAUCACUACUGA